Molecule: long non-coding RNA, 479 nt
Organism: Melospiza melodia melodia
Lineage: Eukaryota; Metazoa; Chordata; Aves; Passeriformes; Passerellidae
Exons: 3
Source: RefSeq, a predicted model, not a curated record
CUGUACUGAUGAACAUUCAACCAGAGCUGCCAGCACAGAGAAGGAGCAUGGUGCCCUGAUGGACUCCUCGGCCACUAAACCUGCACUGGAGCAGCUAAGGUAUUACCUCCAGAAAACACCUCUGCAGAGGAAACCAGGAGUGCAGGGCUUCCAGCUCAGCCCUCUCUGACCUCUCUGUCUGAUCUGGGUCAGGCAGCUUGGCUCACAAACUGCAGACUUUUGGCAAAAGGAAUAUCCCAGUGACCAUGCUGGCUGCCCAAAUAACAUGCUGUAAAUAAAGCUUUCAGAAUAUGAACUCUAGGAUUUUUACUGGAAUUCCCUCAGCUCUAGUGGACUCCUCAAGUGGACUGGUACCAAAACAGAGGGCAAAGGGAGCUGUUGAGAAAGCAAGUCCAUUUUUCUUUCUCCUUUAAAUGUGUCCCAGUGUUUCCAGGAAAUAUUGGAGUGGGAUGACUAUAACAAAGGCACUGUGUCAGACC